CAGUCGCCGCGGUAAUACGGAGGGCGCGAGCGUUACCCGGAUUUACUGGGCGUAAAGGGCGUGUAGGCGGCCUGGGGCGUCCCAUGUGAAAGGCCACGGCUCAACCGUGGAGGAGCGUGGGAUACGCUCAGGCUAGAGGGUGGGAGAGGGUGGUGGAAUUCCCGGAGUAGCAGUGAAAUGCGCAGAUACCGGGAGGAACGCCGAUGGCGAAGGCAGCCACCUGGUCCACUUCUGACGCUGAGGCGCGAAAGCGUGGGGAGCAAACCGGAUUAGAGACCCCUGUAGUCCCUGUCUCUUAUAC
Molecule: ribosomal RNA, 301 nt
Filed under: uncultured bacterium
Lineage: Bacteria
Description: partial 16S ribosomal RNA
Rfam family: Bacterial small subunit ribosomal RNA
Source: RNAcentral